GGGGGGAGCCCCGGAUCUUGGGCUGUGCCCCCUGGAGCCUUGGGCUCUCUGGCCUGCGCCGCUGGAAUAGCGCUCCUGGGGCCGUGCAGCCCCUU
RNAcentral lists this microRNA precursor (95 nucleotides) under Canis lupus familiaris (dog). RNAcentral's name for it is "mir-8799 microRNA precursor family". It matches the Rfam family "mir-8799 microRNA precursor family". The record is from Rfam by way of RNAcentral. Lineage: Eukaryota; Metazoa; Chordata; Mammalia; Carnivora; Canidae. RNAcentral also lists the same sequence under 1 other name.